RNAcentral lists this ribosomal RNA (253 nucleotides) under uncultured bacterium. RNAcentral's name for it is "partial 16S ribosomal RNA". It matches the Rfam family "Bacterial small subunit ribosomal RNA", at positions 524 to 776 of the family's 1533-position model. The record is from RNAcentral.
UACAGAGGGGGCAAGCGUUGUUCGGAAUUACUGGGCGUAAAGGGCGCGUAGGCGGCCCGCUAAGUCGAACGUGAAAUCCCCAGGCUCAACCUGGGAACUGCGUCCGAUACUGGCAGGCUUGAAUCCGGGAGAGGGAUGUGGAAUUCCAGGUGUAGCGGUGAAAUGCGUAGAUAUCUGGAGGAACACCGGUGGCGAAGGCGGAUCUCUGGGCCUUACCUGAGGCUGAGGCGCGAAAGCUAGGGGAGCGAACAGG